GUGACUCGAACACCGAGGACGGGGACGGGGGACCCAGGUCUCCGGGUCGUACGACGACCCUCGGGGUGAAGCCGCACCCGUGCGGCCGGGCCACAUCUCCGCCCGAACCCGACAGCUAACUCCGCAGGCGUCGAGGAGAACCCAU
This 145-nucleotide small RNA is filed under the name Nocardioides sp. Its description in RNAcentral is "c-di-AMP sequence". It matches the Rfam family "c-di-AMP riboswitch aptamer (ydaO/yuaA leader)". From Rfam's summary of the family: This family represents a conserved RNA structure found upstream of the ydaO and yuaA genes in Bacillus subtilis and related genes in other bacteria. RNAcentral also lists the same sequence under 1 other name. The record is from RNAcentral. Lineage: Bacteria; Bacillati; Actinomycetota; Actinomycetes; Propionibacteriales; Nocardioidaceae.